GUAGAGAAAAAUUUUCUCCCUUGAAUUACACUCCAAUAUUCAAACUUGGGAGCAUGAAGUGUUACUCAAACCAACAGAACCCAAAUUAAACUUGAAUUCUCACAGUGAUACCCAGUUUGUUAAUUGUCAAUCGCAUCUCUUCUUGUUGCUGCUCUAAGCAAGAUCAUGUCAUUUUCAACUCAAAUCUUCACUUUAGAAAAAGACUGGCAGUGUAUGUCAUACUCACCGUAAACUAAACUUAAACAGUUGAAACUAACAACCAUGUUAUUAAGUGCAAA
This 278-nucleotide unclassified non-coding RNA is filed under the name Hevea brasiliensis (rubber tree). The record is from RNAcentral. Lineage: Eukaryota; Viridiplantae; Streptophyta; Magnoliopsida; Malpighiales; Euphorbiaceae.